Long non-coding RNA from Magnolia sinica, 693 nucleotides. RefSeq lists it as uncharacterized. The record is from RefSeq and is a predicted model, not a curated record. Lineage: Eukaryota; Viridiplantae; Streptophyta; Magnoliopsida; Magnoliales; Magnoliaceae. The transcript has 5 exons.
GCAUAUGCAAGGCACAUCUAUGACGGGACCUAUUCCUUCCAACAUCUCUUUCUUGGUGAAUCUAACUGAACUGAGGAUAUCUGAUUUGAAUGGAUCGAGCAUGCCUUUCCCUGCAUUGGGGGAUAUGACCAAAAUGCAGAAAUUGGUACUAAGAAAUUGCUUGAUUUCUGACAUAAUCCCACAAUAUAUUGGGACAAUGACAAAUCUGAAAUCCUUGUAAGUUACUUUGGACAAAUCUUUUAUACAUGGCCUUUAUAUAUUUCUUUUCCCAUGCCAUUGAGUGCUGACUAGGCAUUGUUAGAUGCACAAUAUUCUUAAGUUUGGAUGGUCAACUCUAAAUUAAGUGAUGAAAACAUAAAAUGAAAGUUGAAGAUUCAGCUCCAUGAGUUGACAUGCAAAUCACGACCACUGUCCAGCCAACCGUUUCAUGGUUUGAAAGAAGUUAAAUUAGGAAGGGAAGUGCAAAACUGAAGUGAUUCGACGACAAAUUCAUGGUGAUUUGGCCUUUCACUUUCAUUUCUAUGUUUAUUUUGCUGUGUACUGGCUAAUCCAUCAUGCUACUGGACAAGGAAAAUCCUUUUAGAAAUUCCAAGCAGCUUUUCAAGACUCUCAGCGCUAGAUUAUAUGUAUCUUACUAGCAACAUGCUGACUGGGGUCAUACCCUCUUGGGUCCGAGGUAGCAACCAUUACUUG